Triticum aestivum (bread wheat) is the source of this 4753-nucleotide long non-coding RNA. RefSeq lists it as uncharacterized. NCBI's taxonomy places the organism in Eukaryota, Viridiplantae, Streptophyta, Magnoliopsida, Poales, Poaceae. The record is from RefSeq and is a predicted model, not a curated record. The transcript is spliced from 4 exons.
GCUGAUUGCGGGAGAUCGUGCGAGAGCAACACCCGUUGGUCACCGCCCCGCACAAACCCUACCCUUUCCAGUGCUCCCAAAUCGACGCAGCCGCCUCCCCUCUCCCUCCCUUCCUCCCCAAACGCGUCGGCCGCCUCCUCUCCACCUGCCAUACCGCGUCCCCGCUGCCGCCAUGGCCUCUUCAGGAGGCACGCCCGUCCAUGGUGUGAAGCAGCAGACCAGGAUCUGGAUGAGGAAGAGGAGAUCCGGGCGCCCCAACGGUGGAUCGAUCGAUGCGAGGUGACAACGAGCUCCUCCGGACGUGGGGGAGCAGCGAGGCCGGAGAUCCAGUCGGCGCAUGCGGGUCGAAUUAGCUGCAGCGCUCCGGUCCCCAAGCCGCCUCCAGGCUCGCUUCCUCCAUCCUCCCACGUCGAUUGCACCCCUCCUCCCGCAUCUCACCCAUCUCGAUGGAUGGCGUGCGGGCACAGAGGCGAGGUUCUCCGGCGGCGGCGGGAACCUCCAGGCAGAGCGACCCCAUGGAUCCGUCCCUGCAGGAGAAAAGGAAUGAGAGGAGCAGCGGCGCUGGCCUCUCCUCUCCCUGCACCGCCGCUGUCCUGCGUUGUCACUGACGUCCCCAAGUGCUUCUCUCCAGAAAUGGUGCCACCAUGUCCAGAUCAAGUCAAGCGCCAGACAUAUGGAGGAAGAUUAGUUAGUAAUGCCCAUAUGAAUUUGAACGUACAAUUUAUAGACAUCCUUCAAUUGCAUUACAAGCCCUGGAAGAGCGACACCAGCCAGGUAGGCCUCUCCCUCCUCUCCAUGCUCCACAUGAGGUGUGCAGGUCACCACCGUGACAUAUCGUCUCUGCUCUCGCGGUUAUGCCUUACUUGCAGCAUGUGUGAUGUGUGCGUGCUUACUGAUGUGUGGCAAUUUCUUAAUUAUAAGUCCCAGUUUAUGCACUUUCUAGAAGGAUGACGGUAAGGAGGGGCUACCUUUUCCUCAGAGAGGACCCUAACUGAACUUUGUAUCGAAGCUUUGUGUGUGUUUCUCCUUAAUCUGUGUGUAAAUUCAGAGUUCUAAUCACCAUCCUGGUGUUUGCUGAUUUCAGGCAUUGUAUGGGAUGGAUCUAUCAUGCUGAGAUUAGUUGUAGACUUCCUUGCUGAACCCUGCAUGGAGCAAUGCAUCCCCAGUUUGCUUCCAGAGGAGGAAGGGGAAGAGGUGAACCUGCUUGUUCUUCAUUUAUUCCUAAAUAAAUAUCUAAUCUCUUGGGGUUAUUAAGAAGAGGGUCAGUAUUGCCCGGAACCAUAAGAUCUGAGAGAGGAGAGGAACAGAAGAAUCCAUUAGAAGAAUUUAGUGAAGAACAAGGGCAAUGUUUAUUGACGAUUUUUUGCUUUGGAAAACACUUUCCGUAUGCUGCCUGAAAUGGAUUCUUCAUAACGUUGUCUUUGAAUUCGCACCAAAUUCAGUCACAAUUCAAUACUGAUUAAAGCAAUAGGAAUUUCACCGGCAAGUGUUUGUGAGUCGUUCUUGGCAUAUAUUGUCCUAUAGUAAUACUUGAUGUAGUUAUUGAAUCGAGAUAUCUGGAUUUAUUUACUUCCAUUUGACUUAUUCAUUCUGGGAUGAAUUUUGUGUUUGCCUGCCUUUCACCUCUACACACCAUCAUUGUUUUCUUGAUGUUGUCACCCAUGUGUUAAUGUUGUAGAAGAUGUAUCAUUUGACUUCUUUUAGGUUCUAUUUUUUUACUGAGCAUACGUGGAUGCCCAUGAAGUGUUCAUUGUUUUUUUAACAAGUAAAUAUUGAUGCACAGAAGAUUUAUAUGGUAGUUUCCAUUCUGGUUUACAUGGGUAGUACCUGAAGCUUAUUUAUAUUUCCACUCCUGUGGAUUUAUUUGAGAUUCUUGAUUCUUGACAUAUCAGGAGUUAGUGUUGGUGUUAUGUUCUACCAGAUCCAUUUUUUGCUCAUGUUUCUUAGGUUCAAUUAGUGUUCUCCAUUUUUCUAAUAAGUGAACGUGGACACAUACAGACAGUAGAGGAACAAUCACUGUUCUCUUUGUGUUUUAGCGAGUAUAUGUGGAUGCACAGAAAGCAUUAUGUUCUUGUUUACAAGGUAGUACAUGGAGCAUAUUUACUUUGUCUAAACUGUAAUAUUUAUUUUGUCUGCUUGCAUCAAAAUCGAAAUGCGGCUUUUGCUUGCUAAUAAUUUUGGUUACGGUGUGGCUGGCUACCUAUUACUCAAGAUGGUUCCAUAUUAUAUCAUCAAUUUCAGGAACCUUAUCUCAUAUGUUGCUGAUUUCAUAACAGAUUGUUGGCAUUGUAGCUUCAAGAGACAUGUAUGUUGCUUAUCUUUUGCCUACUGAGCACACAAAACAAAUGUUUCUAUGAAUAUAUGUAAGUGAAACAACAUGCUCCCAUUUUUGGUCAGUUGGUGGACCUGACUAAUACAUAUUUUUUUGGUGAGAGAUAUUAUUCAUAUGUUCUCAGCCAUGUACCCAUAAUUAAUAAACUAAUGGUUUUUUUGUUGGGCUGUUGCUGCCUCCAAUCUUUUGCCCGGCAAACAAAUGCUCAAUAUUUAUUUGUUUUCUCCUUCCUACGAGUGCUUCGUCCUUGUAUCUGUUGGUGGAAUACAAUGUUCUUUAUUCUCCAUGUUUUGGUUAAUAUCAAUUUCCAUGCUUCAUGUUUGUUUACCUUUAUCAUUUUUGCACUGUCUUGUAUUAAAACAGGAUUCUUUACUCAAAUCCUGCUAAUAACUAAAGCCUUUCAAGGAUGUUGCUUCAAUAUGGAAAGAUGUUCCCCUGCAAGUUUUUUGAUUGUUACAACAAAGACUACUUUUUGAGUUGUCGAGGCGAGUUGAUGAUCUAACCACUAGCGGCUGAGAAACUUCAUUUAGAAUGUGACGUGUCAUGUACUUAUAGGCUAAUCGAGUGACCUUUUUGUUAUCUAUGGAAUAUGAAUCUCCAAAUUUUGUGCGUGCUCUAAGCAGUAAGCACUCAAAAUUUGUGGUUGUAAACAAUAUUUAACCUUGUUAUUCUUCACAAAUAGUGUAAUGACAUAGGAAGAUAUAAACAUGGUAUUUUCUGAUGGUCUCUUUUAAAUUGGGCCAGUAAUUUUAUUUGUGUAGAUAACAACAUGUGGACCUCCUUCAGAGUCAUGGGAAGAAAAACUUUGGGUUAAAAGCAAAUUUAAACACAUUGUAUUUUUCGGAUUUUGUGAUUUAUGAUGUUCAGGUCAAGGAUGUCAAGUUCUGCUUCUCUGUUUCGAACCUUUUAUUCUCUGUUUGGCCUAUAACUUGUAUUGCCUUAUUGGUAAAGAUUUAAAUUAAGCCUUGCUGCUACAAACUUUUAUUUUCUUGGAGAAGAUUGUAUUCAUUGGUUGGUGAGUUGAUCUAUUUGUGAUUUGUACCUCGGUUGACAGAACAUCUGAUAUUUGAAAUGAUGAAUCGGGGAUCUUAGGGUCAUUAGAGCAUAUGUAACUCGGGAACAACGACAAGUUGUUUAUGUUGAAGGUGAUCACACCUUGAUUGCUGGACAUGAUCGGAUUCAGUUAGAUGUGAUAUUGGGGUCCAAAAAGAUUGAGGUUUGUACAACUCCUAAAAGUUCAUCUAAUCCUUUCAAGCACUCAGUCCCUUUUAGGGUUAUGUUUGUUUCACCUAAUUAAUAAUUGGAAUUUGUUGGCACCAAACAUUAGUCUACACUCGUAUUUAUGAUGAGAACUAUGAAAAUUUAUUUUGUAGUACAUUGUGGUUUAUUAGUGUUCUACAGACUAUGGUCAUUUGUGUUAUGUUCUCUAUUAUAAACUGUCACAAUAUUUGGCCAAACCUUGCGUACAUCCUGUACAUACUUUUCUCAGUUUAAGCCCCCAUUCAGCAUUCUGGUGAUUAUGCCAAUCACCGUUGUCUGAACCCUGAUUUAGAUGUUUGGAAGCGUGUCUAGCUGCCUUUUUCUGAGGUUGCUGACAAAUAUACUACUGUCUCUUCCAAAACAUAUGGUAUGAAAUUUAGCUACAACCAUUUGACUGUCUCUUCCAAACCUUCCUUGCUUUUGCAAAUAAUACUUUAUGGUUGGCACUAUUGUCUAUAUCUGCCAAAUAUUUACAUGUUAGUAUAGCCAGAAAUUCAGAUGCCACACAUUAGUGAUGGUUUGUUAUUCAUCAUUCCAUGUUGGUUAGCCAUGAUAAAUUUGAUUUCUAGAGUAGCAGAUGAUUCAUGUCAGGUUUCUUUUAGAGAUUGAAAUAUGCGUUGACUCUGAAAUAAGUAGUACGCCGUCCAGUUCUGCAUAGGUGAAAGCAUACUGAUCCCAUUUACAUACUAUGCAAAACUGGACGGCCUUCUAAAUAUUUAAAACUACUAUUUGUUGUGUAAUCUGUAUCACCUCUUCAUACUCUGUAUAUGCUUUCGACUUACUCCCUCCGUCUGAAAAAACUUGUCCCUCAAAUACAUGUAUCUAGCACCAAGUUAGUGCUAGAUACAUCCAUUUGAAAGAUAAGCUUGAGACAAGUUUUUCUGGACGGAGGGAGUACUAGGUAAAAGUGCGUGAGAAUGAUGGCCUUUUAUUCAUUCAAGAGCUCUAAAUGACACCGUUGUAUUGGCAACAUAUUCAGUCAUUUCGGAUCAUCUUGUUGGUGUGUGCUGUAAAAUGAGUUGUGACAUUUGUUGGUAUGUGCUGUAAAAAACUGAAAAAAAGCAGUUCAUGUUUAUUUUUCUUCUGAAUUUUGUUCCCCUGUAAGAUGUGGCCUACUGUAUACUCUUGGGAUAAAUGAGUUGUGACAUUUGUUGUUGUCCA